GUGCUCGCUUCUGCAGCACAUAUACUAACAGUGGAACAAUACAGAGAAGAUUAGCAUGGCCCCUGGACAAGGGUGACAUGAAAAUUCAAAUUCAUUACAUGCUCCAUAUUUUU
RNAcentral lists this small nuclear RNA (113 nucleotides) under Sorex araneus (European shrew). The record is from RNAcentral. Lineage: Eukaryota; Metazoa; Chordata; Mammalia; Eulipotyphla; Soricidae.